CUUGGUCAUUUAGAGGAAGUAAAAGUCGUAACAAGGUUUCCGUAGGUGAACCUGCGGAAGGAUCAUUCAUAAUAAGUGUUUUAUGGCACUUUUUAAAUCCAUAUCCACCUUGUGUGCAAUGUCAGUCGAUCUUCUUCAUGGAGAUCGGCCAAACAUCAACCUUAUUUUUUAACUCUUUGUCUGAAAAAUAUUAUGAAUAAACAAUUCAAAAUACAACUUUCAACAACGGAUCUCUUGGCUCUCGCAUCGAUGAAGAACGCAGCGAAAUGCGAUACGUAAUGUGAAUUGCAGAAUUCAGUGAAUCAUCGAAUCUUUGAACGCAUAUUGCGCUCUUUGGUAUUCCGAAGAGCAUGCUUGUUUGAGUAUCAGUAAACACCUCAAAGCUUUUGGAUUUUUUUUGAAAGCUUUGGACUUGAGCAAUCCCAACGCCAAUCUUUUUCAGAUCGGCGGCGGGUUGCUUGAAAUGCAGGUGCAGCUGGACUUUCUCCUGAGCUAAAAGCAUAUUCAUUUAGUCCCGUCAAACGGAUUAUUACUUMUGCUGCAGCUAACAUAAAGGGAGUUUGACCGUAUUGGCUGACUGAUGCAGGAUUUUACAAGGGUCGGCAACGAUUCUUGUUAAACUCGAUCUCAAAUCAAGUAAGACUACCCGCUGAACUUAAGCAUAUCAAUAAGCGGAGGA
Molecule: ribosomal RNA, 679 nt
Filed under: uncultured fungus
Lineage: Eukaryota; Fungi
Description: eukaryotic LSU rRNA
Rfam family: 5.8S ribosomal RNA (bases 215-368)
Source: RNAcentral